GAGGGUGUAGCUCAGUGGUAGAGUGUGUGCUUGGCAUGCAUGAGGUCCUGGGUUCAAUCCCCAGUACCUCCA
Molecule: transfer RNA, 72 nt
Organism: Camelus ferus (Wild Bactrian camel)
Lineage: Eukaryota; Metazoa; Chordata; Mammalia; Artiodactyla; Camelidae
Rfam family: tRNA
About the family: Transfer RNA (tRNA) molecules are approximately 80 nucleotides in length. Their secondary structure includes four short double-helical elements and three loops (D, anti-codon, and T loops). Further hydrogen bonds mediate the characteristic L-shaped molecular structure. tRNAs have two regions of fundamental functional importance: the anti-codon, which is responsible for specific mRNA codon recognition, and the 3' end, to which the tRNAs corresponding amino acid is attached (by aminoacyl-tRNA synthetases). tRNAs cope with the degeneracy of the genetic code in two manners: having more than one tRNA (with a specific anti-codon) for a particular amino acid; and 'wobble' base-pairing, i.e. permitting non-standard base-pairing at the 3rd anti-codon position.
Source: Rfam